CCUACGGGGUGCAGCAGUGAGGAAUAUUGGUCAAUGGGCGGGAGCCUGAACCAGCCAAGCCGCGUGAGGGAAGAAGGUACAGCGUAUCGUAAACCUCUUUUGUCAGGGAACAAAGGCGGGGACUAGUCCCCGGAUGAGGGUACCUUAAGAAAAAGCAUCGGCUAACUCCGUGCCAGCAGCCGCGGUAAUACGGAGGAUGCGAGCGUUAUCCGGAUUUAUUGGGUUUAAAGGGUUCGCAGGCGGCCUUUUCAGUCAGCGGGAAAAGCCCGGGGCUCAACCCCGGCGAGCCGUUGAAACUGGCGGGCUGGAGUUGGAGAGAAGUACGCGGAAUGCGCGGUGUAGCGGUGAAAUGCUUAGAUAUCGCGCAGAACCCCGAUUGCGAAGGCAGCGUACCGGCUCCACACUGACGCUGAGGCACGAAAGCGUGGGUAUCGAACAGGAUUAGAUACCCUGGUAGUC
This 459-nucleotide ribosomal RNA is filed under the name uncultured bacterium. RNAcentral's name for it is "partial 16S ribosomal RNA". It matches the Rfam family "Bacterial small subunit ribosomal RNA", at positions 338 to 795 of the family's 1533-position model. The record is from RNAcentral.